RNAcentral lists this ribosomal RNA (253 nucleotides) under uncultured prokaryote. RNAcentral's name for it is "partial 16S ribosomal RNA". It matches the Rfam family "Bacterial small subunit ribosomal RNA", at positions 525 to 777 of the family's 1533-position model. The record is from RNAcentral.
ACGAAGGGUGCAAGCGUUAAUCGGAAUUACUGGGCGUAAAGCGCGCGCAGGCGGUUCUCCAAGUCAGUGGUGAAAGCCCGGAGCUCAACUCCGGAACUGCCAUUGAAACCGCAGAACUUGAGGAUGAGAGAGGUGAGUGGAAUUCCCAGUGUAGAGGUGAAAUUCGUAGAUAUUGGGAAGAACACCGGUGGCGAAGGCGGCUCACUGGCUCAUUUCUGACGCUCAGGCGCGACAGCGUGGGGAUCAAACAGGA